GAACGCUGGCGGCGUGCCUAAUACAUGCAACUUGAACGCACUGACGUCGACAGAAGGUGCUUGCACUGGAAGUUGAUUGACGUGAGUGGCGGACGGGUGAGUAACACGUGGGUAACCUGCCCUUAAGCGGGGGAUAACAUUUGGAAACAGAUGCUAAUACCGCAUAAAAGUUGAGAUCACAUGGUCUUAAUUUGAAAGACGGCCUUUGGCUGUCACUUAAGGAUGGACCCGCGGCGUAUUAGCUAGUUGGUGAGAUAAUAGCCCACCAAGGCGAUGAUACGUAGCCGACCUGAGAGGGUAAUCGGCCACAUUGGGACUGAGACACGGCCCAAACUCCUACGGGAGGCAGCAGUAGGGAAUCUUCCACAAUGGACGAAAGUCUGAUGGAGCAACGCCGCGUGAGUGAAGAAGGUUUUCGGAUCGUAAAACUUUGUUGUUGGAGAAGAACAGGGACUAGAGUAACUGUUAGUCCUUUGACGGUAUCCAACCAGAAAGCCACGGCUAACUACGUGCCAGCAGCCGCGGUAAUACGUAGGUGGCAAGCGUUGUCCGGAUUUAUUGGGCGUAAAGCGAGCGCAGGCGGUUUCUUAAGUCUGAUGUGAAAGCCUUCGGCUUAACCGAAGAAGUGCAUCAGAUACUGGGAAACUUGAGUGCAGAAGAGGAAAGUGGAACUCCAUGUGUAGCGGUGAAAUGCGUAGAUAUAUGGAAGAACACCAGUGGCGAAGGCGGCUUUCUGGUCUGUAACUGACGCUGAGGCUCGAAAGUAUGGGGAGCGAACAGGAUUAGAUACCCUGGUAGUCCAUACCGUAAACGAUGAAUGCUAAGUGUUGGAGGGUUUCCGCCCUUCAGUGCUGCAGCUAACGCAUUAAGCAUUCCGCCUGGGGAGUACGACCGCAAGGUUGAAACUCAAAGGAAUUGACGGGGGCCCGCACAAGCGGUGGAGCAUGUGGUUUAAUUCGAAGCUACGCGAAGAACCUUACCAGGUCUUGACAUCUAGCGCCAAUCCUAGAGAUAGGACGUUCCCUUCGGGGACGCUAAGACAGGUGGUGCAUGGUUGUCGUCAGCUCGUGUCGUGAGAUGUUGGGUUAAGUCCCGCAACGAGCGCAACCCUUAUGAUUAGUUGCCAGCAUUAAGGUGGGCACUCUAAUCAGACUGCCGGUGACAAAC
RNAcentral lists this ribosomal RNA (1167 nucleotides) under uncultured bacterium. Its description in RNAcentral is "bacterial SSU rRNA". It matches the Rfam family "Bacterial small subunit ribosomal RNA", at positions 31 to 1163 of the family's 1533-position model. The record is from RNAcentral.